AGUGAACGCUGGCGGUAGGCCUAACACAUGCAAGUCGAACGGCAGCACAGUAAGAGCUUGCUCUUACGGGUGGCGAGUGGCGGACGGGUGAGGAAUACAUCGGAAUCUACUUUUUCGUGGGGGAUAACGUAGGGAAACUUACGCUAAUACCGCAUACGACCUACGGGUGAAAGCAGGGGAUCUUCGGACCUUGCGCGAUUGAAUGAGCCGAUGUCGGAUUAGCUAGUUGGCGGGGUAAAGGCCCACCAAGGCGACGAUCCGUAGCUGGUCUGAGAGGAUGAUCAGCCACACUGGAAAUGAGACACGGUCCAGACUCCUACGGGAGGCAGCAGUGGGGAAUAUUGGACAAUGGGCGCAAGCCUGAUCCAGCCAUGCCGCGUGGGUGAAGAAGGCCUUCGGGUUGUAAAGCCCUUUUGUUGGGAAAGAAAAGGAGUAGGUUAAUACCCCGGUGGUCUGACGGUACCCAAAGAAUAAGCACCGGCUAACUUCGUG
Molecule: ribosomal RNA, 492 nt
Filed under: uncultured bacterium
Lineage: Bacteria
Description: partial 16S ribosomal RNA
Rfam family: Bacterial small subunit ribosomal RNA
Source: RNAcentral